UCCGGUUUGACACCGGCAGUCCCCUUAGAGUCCCCGGCAUAACCCGAUGGUAACUAAGGGCAAAGGUUUCGCUCGUUAAGGGACUUAACCCGACAUCUCACGACACGAGCUGACGACAGCCAUGCAGCACCUGUACCAGUUGUACCCCUUGCGGGGCCUACCCGACUUUCAUCGGGAUAAUCCUGGCGAGUCAAGCCCAGGUAAGGUUCUGCGCGUUGCUUCGAAUUGAACCACAUGCUCCACCGCUUGUGUGAGCCCCCGUCAAUUCCUUUGAGUUUUAGCCUUGCGACCGUACUUCCCAGGCGGUCCACUUAGCACUUUUGCUUCGACCCUGACAGCGUCAGAGCUGCCAGAAUCUAGUGGACAUCGUUUACGGCCAGGACUAC
This 386-nucleotide unclassified non-coding RNA is filed under the name uncultured Tepidisphaerales bacterium. Its description in RNAcentral is "contains 16S-23S intergenic spacer region". The record is from RNAcentral. Lineage: Bacteria; Pseudomonadati; Planctomycetota; Phycisphaerae; Tepidisphaerales.